AUACGUAGGUGGCAAGCGUUGUCCGGAAUUAUUGGGCGUAAAGCGCGCGCAGGUGGUUCCUUAAGUCUGAUGUGAAAGCCCCCGGCUCAACCGGGGAGGGUCAUUGGAAACUGGGGAACUUGAGUGCAGAAGAGGAUAGUGGAAUUCCAAGUGUAGCGGUGAAAUGGGUAGAGAUUUGGAGGAACACCAGUGGCGAAGGCGACUGUCUGGUCUGUAACUGACACUGAGGCGCGAAAGCGUGGGGAGCAAACAGGAUUAGAUACCCUGGUAGUCCACGCCGUAAACGAUGAGUGCUAAGUGUUGGGGGGUUUCCGCCCCUCAGUGCUGCAGCUAACGCAUUAAGCACUCCGCCUGGGGAGUACGGUCGCAAGACUGAAACUCAAAUGAAUUGACGGGG
Molecule: ribosomal RNA, 397 nt
Filed under: uncultured bacterium
Lineage: Bacteria
Description: partial 16S ribosomal RNA
Rfam family: Bacterial small subunit ribosomal RNA
Source: RNAcentral